GGAUCCUGAAAAACCCGGUCCGUGCCUCACGCUGCUGCCUCCCGCUGCUCGGUGCGAGGUCACCGCGGCCGGAUCGGCGGCUCUCCGGGGGCGUCGUGCCCGCUGAGAGCUCCAAUGCCCAUUGUCUGGAAUGAGGGGCACUUGCGGCUGGAAGGGAAAAUAAGCGAGUGAGCACAGGAAAAAGCUCCAAAUUAGCACCCCACUGACAGAAGUGGCUGCAAUGUGACUUCCUUUCUAGCUGGCCUAGCACCAUCCACCUAGAAAAGAAACAUGACUGGGACAAAUGCUGCUGUUCACUAGCAAGCAGUGAGUUGACCUGAGAGUAGGAAUAGGGUAUUGUACACCCACACAGAAAAGGCUGAAUAAGAAUGUAAGAAAAUUGAAUGGGUGAAUGGGAAGAGUUAAUAUAGUGAGUAAAGAAAAAUAGGCCUCUUGGAAUCUGCAUAAUUUGAGCUUUCAGUGGCUCGAAAGCAAGAGGUGCUUAAGAUCAUUUGUUUUCUGAAUCUGAAUUAAGACUUUGAUAUGCUGUGCAACAUUGGAAAAAAGCUUCAGAAGACUGUUCAUUAGCUAUUGAAACUAAGAUACUGAACGUCUGUUUCCAAUUAGUUGUCCAUCCAGCAUACUGUACAAUUAGUCGGUGGGUACUGAAAAGCCAGCGUUCAUAUAAGCAAUACUGAAGGUUAUGUGACUGAAGUUUGUCCCUUCCCUUGUUCCCUUCAUCUGCUGAAUUGCAGGAGAUGCUGGUUUUGUAUUAUUCUAACACAUAGAUGCCCUGAGGCAUGUCCUCCACCAUGAGAGCUGCUCGUAAGGGUGAAAGGGAUUGAGAUCAACUAGCUGCAAAUUGGAAUUCUUCACUUGCAGCAAAGGUGGCCCUUACA
This is a long non-coding RNA of Neopsephotus bourkii (Bourke's parrot), 878 nucleotides long. RefSeq lists it as uncharacterized. The transcript is spliced from 2 exons. The record is from RefSeq and is a predicted model, not a curated record. Lineage: Eukaryota; Metazoa; Chordata; Aves; Psittaciformes; Psittacidae.